CAGUCGCCACGGGAAUACGUAGGUGGCAAGCGUUGUCCGGAAUUAUUGGGCGUAAAGGGCUCGCAGGCGGUUUCUUAAGUCUGAUGUGAAAGCCCCCGGCUCAACCGGGGAGGGUCAUUGGAAACUGGGAAACUUGAGUGCAGAAGAGGAGAGUGGAAUUCCACGUGUAGCGGCGAAAUGCGUAGAGAUGUGGAGGAACGCCAGUGGCGAAGGCGACUCUCUGGUCUGUAACUGACGCUGAGGAGCGAAAGCGUGGGGAGCGAACAGGAUUAGAUACCCCCGUAGUCCCUGUCUCUUAUAC
Molecule: ribosomal RNA, 301 nt
Filed under: uncultured bacterium
Lineage: Bacteria
Description: partial 16S ribosomal RNA
Rfam family: Bacterial small subunit ribosomal RNA
Source: RNAcentral